RNAcentral lists this ribosomal RNA (464 nucleotides) under uncultured bacterium. RNAcentral's name for it is "partial 16S ribosomal RNA". It matches the Rfam family "Bacterial small subunit ribosomal RNA", at positions 28 to 507 of the family's 1533-position model. The record is from RNAcentral.
GACGAACGCUGGCGGCGUGCUUAACACAUGCAAGUCGAGCGGUAAGGCCUCUUCGGGGGUACACGAGCGGCGAACGGGUGAGUAACACGUGGGUGACCUGCCCUCAGCUCUGGGAUAAGCCUGGGAAACUGGGUCUAAUACCGGAUAUGACCUUUCCUCGCAUGGGGUUUGGUGGAAAGUUUUUUCGGCUGGGGAUGGGCCCGCGGCCUAUCAGCUUGUUGGUGGGGUAGUGGCUUACCAAGGCUUUGACGGGUAGCCGGCCUGAGAGGGUGACCGGCCACAUUGGGACUGAGAUACGGCCCAGACUCCUACGGGAGGCAGCAGUGGGGAAUAUUGCACAAUGGGCGGAAGCCUGAUGCAGCAACGCCGCGUGCGGGAUGACGGCCUUCGGGUUGUAAACCGCUUUCGCCUGUGACGAAGCGUGAGUGACGGUAAUGGGUAAAGAAGCACCGGCUAACUACGUG